AUUGAACGCUGGCGGCAUGCUUUACACAUGCAAGUCGAACGGUAACAGGCCUUCGGGUGCUGACGAGUGGCGAACGGGUGAGUAAUGCAUCGGAACGUACCCAGAGGUGGGGGAUAACGCAGCGAAUGCUGUGCUAAUACCGCAUGUGAUCUGAGGAUGAAAGCGGGGGACCGAGCAGCAAUGUUUGGCCUCGCGCCUUUGGAGCGGCCGAUGUCGGAUUAGCUAGUUGGUGGGGUAAAGGCCUACCAAGGCGACGAUCCGUAGCUGGUCUGAGAGGACGGCCAGCCACACUGGGACUGAGACACGGACCAGACUCCUGCGGGAGGCAGCAGUGGGGAAUUUUGGACAAUGGGCGCAAGCCUGAUCCAGCAAUGCCGCGUGCGGGAAGAAGGCCUUCGGGUUGGAAACCGCUUUUGGCAGGAACGAAACGGUGUCCGCUAAUACCGGGCGCUAAUGACGGUACCUGCAGAAUAAGCACCGGCUAACUACGUG
This 492-nucleotide ribosomal RNA is filed under the name uncultured bacterium. RNAcentral describes it as "partial 16S ribosomal RNA". It matches the Rfam family "Bacterial small subunit ribosomal RNA", at positions 29 to 507 of the family's 1533-position model. The record is from RNAcentral.